Molecule: long non-coding RNA, 296 nt
Filed under: Malus domestica (apple)
Lineage: Eukaryota; Viridiplantae; Streptophyta; Magnoliopsida; Rosales; Rosaceae
Description: long non-coding RNA (MDOM_LNC002921)
Source: RNAcentral
GAGAAGUUUUCCUCACUCGAGAAUUAAGGGAGCACUACCUCAACAUACAUGCUUCACUCUCAAAGCUUCAACAUACAAGCUUUAACAAAAGAAGAAAAUUCAAAGAACUUAGUGAAGAAGGCCUUAGUGUAUUUAACACAAUACGUUGAAAUGAAGCAAAGCUUGUUUAUUGAUAUCUCCGAUAAGUUACAAAUAUGUACAUAUACAUGAAUCAAAAUAAAUAAACAAGAAGGAGCCUUCACAAAGGUGGCUCAUGAGAAGUCUCAACAGUCGGCAGAGCCUCAGAAAGAGUAGGC